RNAcentral lists this long non-coding RNA (344 nucleotides) under Sorghum bicolor (sorghum). Its description in RNAcentral is "long non-coding RNA (SBIC_LNC005346)". Lineage: Eukaryota; Viridiplantae; Streptophyta; Magnoliopsida; Poales; Poaceae. The record is from RNAcentral.
UGCAAGCUCAUCAAGCCUAACAUUAGGUUUGUCGGCAAACCAACAAUAUUUUAUUGGGAAGGCCAUAUUUCUUUUAUCUAGAGCAGUGUGAAUGAAGUCCAUGAGUAUUUGAUAAGCUUUAAAAUAGAUAUAUUCUCACCUCAAUAUAUAUAUCAUGUGGGUAAGGACUCCAAGUGAUCACGAUGUUGUUGUUUCUCCUCGGUGCUGCAGUGUGUCUUGGGCUUAGUAAUCACUCUUCGGUGCCAAGGUCAAUCAGAUAGUGCAUAGUUGAUAAAUAAAGUGCCGUGAUAAUAGGGCUUGAGUAUUUGUAACUGAAACUGAACCAUGAGUGUCAAGCCUCCACA